GAAGCCAGAKMURAWWGACAGCYGGSGGUAUGCUUAACACAUGCAAGUCGAACGGUAACAGGCAAAGCUUGCUUUGCGCUGACGAGUGGCGGACGGGUGAGUAACGCGUAGGAAUCUGCCUUAUAGUGGGGGAUAGCCCGGUGAAAACCGGAUUAAUACCGCAUACGCCCUACGGGGGAAAGUCGGGGAUCUUUUGACCUGACGCUAUUAGAUGAGCCUGCGUAAGAUUAGCUUGUUGGUGGGGUAAUGGCCUACCAAGGCAACGAUCUUUAGCUGGUCUGAGAGGACGAUCAGCCACACUGGGACUGAGACACGGCCCAGACUCCUACGGGAGGCAGCAGUGGGGAAUAUUGCACAAUGGGCGCAAGCCUGAUGCAGCAAUACCGCGUGUGUGAAGAAGGCCUGCGGGUUGUAAAGCACUUUCAAUAGUGAAGAAAUAUCGGUGGUUAAUACCCAUCGGUCUUGACGUUAACUAUACAAGAAGCACCGGCUAACUCCGUGCCAGCAGCCGCGGUAAUACGGAGGGUGCAAGCGUUAAUCGGAAUUACUGGGCGUAAAGAGUACGUAGGUGGUUCGUUAAGUCAGAUGUGAAAGCCCAGGGCUCAACCUUGGAACUGCAUUUGAUACUGGCGAACUAGAGUAUGGUAGAGGGGGGGGGGKRGAAAAUUUCAWRGUKUWGGCCCCGGUGAAUAUKCGCUUAGWUWUUWUUUGAGGRWUUACCAGGGUGGGCRAAGGGCGGCCCCCCUGGGACCAAUACUGACACUGAGGUUACGAAAGCGUGGGUAGCGAACAGGAUUAGAUACCCCUGGUAGUCCACGCCGUAAACGAUGUCAACUAGCMGUUGGGACCUUGARGUCUCAGUGGUGCAGCUAACGCGUGARGUUGACSGCCUGGGGAGUAUACGSCCSCMAGCGA
Molecule: ribosomal RNA, 915 nt
Filed under: uncultured bacterium
Lineage: Bacteria
Description: partial 16S ribosomal RNA
Rfam family: Bacterial small subunit ribosomal RNA
Source: RNAcentral